GAUGAACGCUGGCGGCGUGCCUAAUACAUGCAAGUCGAACGAAACUUCUUUAUUACCGUGUGCUUCCACUCUCCGAUACAGAGUUGUGUGGCGAACGGAAGCGUCACACGUCGGCAAGCUGCCCACAAGAGGCGGAUGACACUUGGAAAUAGGUGCUCCUGCUGCAUAACGAUAGUUACAGCGUUGUAACUAUUUGGAAGGUGGUCGUACUUUCGCUUCUUGUUGGUCCGGCGGUGCCUUAGCUAGUUGGUAGGGUAAAGGCUUACUAAGGGGAUGAUGCGUAGACGAAUGCAUAGGUUGAUCGGCCACAUUGGGAGUGGGACGCGGCCCAAACGCCUGAGGGAGGCAGCAGUAGCGAAUCGGCCACAGUGGGCGAAAGCCUGAUGGAGCAACGCCGCGUGGGUGAAGAAGGUCUUCGGAUCGUAAAACCCUGUUGUGAGAGAAGAAAGGGCGUGGGAGGAACUGUUCACGUUUCGACGGUAUCUAAUCAAAAAGCCACGGCUAACUACGUG
RNAcentral lists this ribosomal RNA (512 nucleotides) under uncultured bacterium. RNAcentral's name for it is "partial 16S ribosomal RNA". It matches the Rfam family "Bacterial small subunit ribosomal RNA", at positions 28 to 507 of the family's 1533-position model. The record is from RNAcentral.